RNAcentral lists this ribosomal RNA (556 nucleotides) under Aspergillus flavus. Its description in RNAcentral is "eukaryotic LSU rRNA". The stretch from base 195 to 348 matches the Rfam family "5.8S ribosomal RNA". Lineage: Eukaryota; Fungi; Ascomycota; Eurotiomycetes; Eurotiales; Aspergillaceae. The record is from RNAcentral.
GAAGGAUCAUUACCGAGUGUAGGGUUCCUAGCGAGCCCAACCUCCCACCCGUGUUUACUGUACCUUAGUUGCUUCGGCGGGCCCGCCAUUCAUGGCCGCCGGGGGCUCUCAGCCCCGGGCCCGCGCCCGCCGGAGACACCACGAACUCUGUCUGAUCUAGUGAAGUCUGAGUUGAUUGUAUCGCAAUCAGUUAAAACUUUCAACAAUGGAUCUCUUGGUUCCGGCAUCGAUGAAGAACGCAGCGAAAUGCGAUAACUAGUGUGAAUUGCAGAAUUCCGUGAAUCAUCGAGUCUUUGAACGCACAUUGCGCCCCCUGGUAUUCCGGGGGGCAUGCCUGUCCGAGCGUCAUUGCUGCCCAUCAAGCACGGCUUGUGUGUUGGGUCGUCGUCCCCUCUCCGGGGGGGACGGGCCCCAAAGGCAGCGGCGGCACCGCGUCCGAUCCUCGAGCGUAUGGGGCUUUGUCACCCGCUCUGUAGGCCCGGCCGGCGCUUGCCGAACGCAAAUCAAUCCUUUCCAGGUUGACCUCGGAUCAGGUAGGGAUACCCGCUGAACUUAA